AGGUCUGGUGGGGGCUACCCGGCUGAGUUUAAGCAUAUAAAAUAAAAGCGAGAAAAAAAACACAAAGAUUCCCUAGUAAUAACGAGCGAAUCGGGAUCAGCCUAGCUUUGGAGAAUCCCAAGCGUGCGUCGUCUGAAUUAUGGAUUUGGAGAAGCGUGCCCGGCCGACGGACCCGGGCCCAAGUCCCCUGGAAAGGGGAAGGGAGGGUGAGAGCCCCGGUCUGCUCGACCCUGUCGCAUUCACGCAGGCGCUGUCGAUGAGUCGGGUUGUUUGGGAAUGUAGCCCCAAUUGGGCGGUAAAUUCCGCCCAAGGCUAAAUAUGGGCGGAGACCGAUAGCGAACAAAUUCGGGAAAGAUGAAAAGGACUUUGAAAAAGAGGAGUCAAAGAGCUUGAAAUUGCCGGGAGGGAAGCGGAUGGGGGCGGCGAUGCACCUCGGUCGGAUGCGGAAUCGGCUGUUAUCGAUCCGCCGUUCGGCUUCAGUGCGGAUCGACUGGCUGCAUCGUGAUGAAGCCCCCGGACGGAUGGAUGCGCUCGAGGGGAUACCGUCGAGCGCGGUCGAGGACACAUACCGCCAUCGGUGUGCCUUGAAGUCACGUGCGACCUAGGCAUCGGCCAGUGGGCUCCCCAUCCGACCCAUCUUGAAAACACAGACUGCUGAGUCUGACAUGCGUCGCAGUCAACGGUGCGCGAAACCCGGAAGGCACAAAGGAAGCUAACGGGAACCCUCGAGGGGGUUGCACUGCCCGGCCGACCCGAUCUUCUGUGAAGAGUUCCAGUUGGAGCAUGCAUGUCGUGACCGAAGAUGGUGAAACGGCCUGAGUCGAAAAUGGCGGAGGAAACUCUGGUGGAGUCUUGCCGUCUUGGCGAUGCAAAUCAGUUCGUCUGAUCUGGGUAUAGGGAAGUAAAGACUAAUCGGAACAUCUAGUAGCUGGUUCCUCCAGUUUCCCUCAGAUAGCUGGAGCCACGCAAGGAAGUUCUAUCGGGUAAAGCCAAUGAUUAUAUCGGGGCUCCAACGCCCUCGACCUAUUCUCAAACUUUAAACCUAGAGACCCAGUGCUCCAAACGUCGCCCGAAUCGAGAGCUCAAGUGGGCCAUUUUUGGUAAAGCAGAACUGGCGUCUUGUGGGAUGAACCCGGAAGCCGGGUUCACGGUGCCCAACUGCGGCGCUUUGGACACCACAAGGGUGUUGGUCGAUUAAAGACAGGACGGUGGUCAUGGAAGUCAAAUCCGCUAAGGAGUGUGUAACAACUCACCCCGCAAUCAACUAGCCCCGAAAUGGAUAUGCUGAAGCCGCCGACCUACACCCGUUAUCGUGGGGCGUAAACCCCGGCGAGUAGGAAAAUAUCGCCGCAAAAACAGGGCGCGAAGCCGAAGCGGGCAGCCCUUGGUGGAUCUUGGUGGUAGUAGCAAAUAUUCAAAUAUGAGAACUUUCAAGGCGAAGAGGGGGAAAGGUUCCAUGUGAACGGCACUUGCACAUGGGUUACCCGAUCCUAAGGGACGAAAGCCGAUCGGCGUGUCCCGCUACGGGAAAUUCGAAAGGGAAUCGGGUUAAAAUUCGAAAUGCGGCGGCGGGCAGCGGACGUUAGGAAGUCGGAGACGUCGGGCGGGGCCCGGGAAGGAUUAUCUUUUCUGCUUAACGGCCCGCCCACCCUGGGAAAUGGCUCAGCGGGUAGGGUCCAGCGGUCGGAAGAAGCCACUCAUGUCGGCGUCGGGCGUCGGUCCCCCGGUGACCCUUGAAAAUCCGAGGACCGAGGCCGCCAGCCAUACGUCGUACUCAUAACCGCAUCAGGUCUCCAAAAGGUGAACAGCCUCUGGCCCAUGGAACAAUGUAGGCAAGGGAAGUCGACCGCUGGAUCCGUAACAUCGGAAAAGGAUUGGCUCUGAGGGCUGGGCACGGGGGUCCAGGCCCCGUUCCGUCGGCUAUCACGGCGGACUGCUCGAAACUACUCUCGAAGCGAGUGGGUGGGCCAGCGUGCCGGCCGGGGAUUUACGAGAAUAGCCCCCGGCGCUUCCCGGGGUCGCGUCCGAACAGCCGACUCAGAACUGGUGCGGACAAAGGGGAAUCCAUUGUUUAAUUAAAACAAAGCAUUCUGCGAUGGUCCCCCGCGGAUGCUCACGCAAUGUGAUUUCUGCCCAGUCUCUGAAUGUCAAAGUGAAGAAAUUCAACCAAAGCGUGGGUAAAUGGCGGGGAGUAACUAUGACUCUCUUAAGGUAGCCAAAUGCCUCGCAUCUAAUUGGUGGCGCAUGAAUGGAUUAACGAGAUUCCCCACUGUCCUGUCUACUAUCCAGCGAAACCACAGCCAAGGUAGCGGGCUUGGCAGAAUCAGCGGGGAAAGAAGACCCGCCCGGCCUCCUUUUGGACCCUCCUUCUACUUAUUCCGUGAGGAUUCCGAGGGGCCGGCCCCUCCUUUGGACCCAAGGCCGCCCUGGCGAUCUGAUCUGAAGACAUUGUCAGGUGGGGGAGUUUGGCUGGGGCGGCACAUCUGUUAAAAGAUAACAUGGGUGUCCUAAGAUGAGCUCAGCGAGAACAGAAAUCUCGUGUGGAACAAAAGGGUAAAAGCUCGUUUGAUUCUGAUUUCUGAAUGCAAAUAUGAACUGUGGCGUGGCCCUGUCGAUCCUACCUUCGGAAUUUGAAGCUAGAGGUGUCAGAAAAGUUACCACAGGGAUAACUGGCUUGUGGCAGCCAAAGCGUUCAUAGCGACGUUGCUUUUUUGAUCCUUGAUGUCGGCUCUUCCUAUCAUUGUGAAGCAGAAUUCACCAAGUGUUGGAUUGUUCACCCACCAAUAGGGAGCGUGAGCUGGUUUGAACCGUCGUGAGACAGGUUAGUUUUACCCUACUGAUGAUGGUGUCGCGAUAGUAAUUCAACCUAGUCUGAGAGGAACGUUGAUUCACACAAUUGGUCAUCGGCGGUUGGUUGAAAAACCAGUGGCCUUGAAGCUACCGUGUGUCGGAUUAUGACUGAACCCUCUAAGUCAGAAUCCUAGCUAGCAACCCGGUGCUCUAAGCCCGUCGUUAAGCCUCCGACCCACAGUAGGGCCUUUU
RNAcentral lists this ribosomal RNA (3042 nucleotides) under Musa schizocarpa. RNAcentral's name for it is "eukaryotic LSU rRNA". It matches the Rfam family "Eukaryotic large subunit ribosomal RNA". Lineage: Eukaryota; Viridiplantae; Streptophyta; Magnoliopsida; Zingiberales; Musaceae. The record is from RNAcentral.